RNAcentral lists this transfer-messenger RNA (384 nucleotides) under Candidatus Saccharibacteria bacterium 32-50-10. It matches the Rfam family "transfer-messenger RNA". From Rfam's summary of the family: Bacterial tmRNA, also known as 10Sa RNA or SsrA, is named for its dual tRNA and mRNA-like properties. Its role is to liberate the mRNA from a stalled ribosome. Lineage: Bacteria; Candidatus Saccharimonadota. RNAcentral also lists the same sequence under 1 other name. The record is from RNAcentral.
GGGGCUGACAUAGCUUUCGACAACUGGACAUUAACAGGUUAUUUUGCAAGUCGACCAUACACGAUACGUAUACUUUUAAUUGCAAAGAAUUUUGCUAGCAAGGUCGCGAGCCUUUUCCAGGUUCGUGCUUUUGCGCCAGCUGUAGCCUAGCUAACAGCCAUCUCUGUGCCCAGGUAACAUAGGGCAUAAGGGGUGUUAUAUCUAUGUUACUUGCUGAAUUUUACGCGCAGUGGCGUAGAUUCGGGACUCUCUCCACGCAACAACUCUAACAUUUGCGGCUGUUUUUUAGUUAGAUGAGUUGUAAAGCCCUUAAGAUAGCCUAAGCUUGUAGACGAAUAACCAGUUACCAUUUGGACCCGGGGGCAGUGCCCGGCAGCUCCACCA